GACGAACGCUGGCGGCGUGCUUAACACAUGCAAGUCGAACGGAAAGGCCCUGCUUUUGUGGGGUGCUCGAGUGGCGAACGGGUGAGUAACACGUGAGUAACCUGCCCUUGACUUUGGGAUAACUUCAGGAAACUGGGGCUAAUACCGGAUAGGAGCUCCUGCUGCAUGGUGGGGGUUGGAAAGUUUCGGCGGUUGGGGAUGGACUCGCGGCUUAUCAGCUUGUUGGUGGGGUAGUGGCUUACCAAGGCUUUGACGGGUGGCCGGCCUGAGAGGGUGACCGGCCACAUUGGGACUGAGAUACGGCCCAGACUCCUACGGGAGGCAGCAGUGGGGAAUAUUGCACAAUGGGCGGAAGCCUGAUGCAGCAACGCCGCGUGCGGGAUGACGGCCUUCGGGUUGGAAACCGCUUUCGCCUGUGACGAAGCGUGAGUGACGGUAAUGGGUAAAGAAGCACCGGCUAACUACGUG
This 468-nucleotide ribosomal RNA is filed under the name uncultured bacterium. RNAcentral's name for it is "partial 16S ribosomal RNA". It matches the Rfam family "Bacterial small subunit ribosomal RNA", at positions 28 to 507 of the family's 1533-position model. The record is from RNAcentral.